Molecule: ribosomal RNA, 468 nt
Filed under: uncultured bacterium
Lineage: Bacteria
Description: partial 16S ribosomal RNA
Rfam family: Bacterial small subunit ribosomal RNA
Source: RNAcentral
GACGAACGCUGGCGGCGUGCUUAACACAUGCAAGUCGAACGGAAAGGCCCUGCUUUUGUGGGGUGCUCGAGUGGCGAACGGGUGAGUAGCACGUGAGUAACCUGCCCUUGACUUUGGGAUAACUUCAGGAAACUGGGGCUAAUACCGGAUAGGAGCUCCUGCUGCAUGGUGGGGGUUGGAAAGUUUCGGCGGUUGGGGAUGGACUCGCGGCUUAUCAGCUUGUUGGUGGGGUAGUGGCUUACCAAGGCUUUGACGGGUAGCCGGCCUGAGAGGGUGACCGGCCACAUUGGGACUGAGAUACGGCCAAGACUCCUACGGGAGGCAGCAGUGGGGAAUAUUGCACAAUGGGCGGAAGCCUGAUGCAGCAACGCCGCGUGCGGGAUGACGGCCUUCGGGUUGUAAACCGCUUUCGCCUGUGACGAAGCGUGAGUGACGGUAAUGGGUAAAGAAGCACCGGCUAACUACGUG